AGUGAACGCUGGCGGCGUGCUUAACACAUGCAAGUCGAACGAGAACGGGCUAUAGCUUGCUAUAGUUGUCAGCUAAGUGGCGCACGGGUGAGUAAUGUAUAGGUAAUAUGCCUCUUACUAAGGGAUAACAAAUGGAAACGUUUGCUAAUACCUUAUACUCCUUAUUAACAGAAGUUAAUAAGGGAAAGAUUUAUUGGUAUGAGAUUAGCCUGUAUUGUAUCAGUUAGUUGGUGGGGUAAUGGCUUACCAAGACUAUGACACAUAACUGGUUUGAGAUGAUGAUCAGUCACACUGGAACUGAGACACGGUCCAAACUCCUACGGGAGGCAGCAGUGGGUAAUAUUGCACAAUGGACGAAAGUCUGAUGCAGCAACGCCGCGUGGAGGAUGACACAUUUCGGUGCGUAAACUCCUUUUAUAUGAGAAGACAAUGACGGUAUUAUAUGAAUAAGCGCCGGCUAACUCCCUGCCAGCCGCCGCCGUAA
RNAcentral lists this ribosomal RNA (484 nucleotides) under uncultured bacterium. RNAcentral's name for it is "partial 16S ribosomal RNA". It matches the Rfam family "Bacterial small subunit ribosomal RNA", at positions 29 to 523 of the family's 1533-position model. The record is from RNAcentral.